UGGGGAAUAUUGGACAAUGGAGGAAACUCUGAUCCAGCAAUUCUGUGUGUGUGAAGAAGGCUUUAGGACUGUAAAACACUUUUAGUAGGGAAGAAAAAAAUGACGGUACUUACAGAAGAAGCAACGGCUAAAUACGUGCCAGCAGCCGCGGUAAUACGGAUGGUCCGGGCGUUAUCCGGAUUUAUUGGGUUUAAAGGGAGCGUAGGCCGUUUGGUAAGCGUGUUGUGAAAUGUAGGAGCUCAACUUCUGGAUUGCAGCGCGAACUGGCAGACUUGAGUGCGCAAAACGUAGGCGGAAUUCAUGGUGUAGCGGUGAAAUGCGUAGAUAUCAUGAAGAACUCCGAUGGCGAAGGCAGCUUACGGGAGCGCAACUGACGCUGAGGCACGAAGGUGCGGGUAGCGAACAGG
Molecule: ribosomal RNA, 407 nt
Filed under: Verrucomicrobiota bacterium
Lineage: Bacteria; Pseudomonadati; Verrucomicrobiota
Description: Verrucomicrobia bacterium partial 16S ribosomal RNA
Rfam family: Bacterial small subunit ribosomal RNA
Source: RNAcentral